CCCAGACAGCCAGGAUGUUGGCUUAGAAGCAGCCAUCAUUUAAAGAAAGCGUAAUAGCUCACUGGUCGAGUCGGCCUGCGCGGAAGAUGUAACGGGGCUAAACCAUGCACCGAAGCUGCGGCAGCGAACGUAUCACUUAAAGCGAUUCAGCGGGUUACGAUUGACGGAGCGAAGCGACGUCAAAGCGUAUACAAAGUCGAGUCGGUUUAAGGAUACGUUCGUUGGGUAGGGGAGCGUUCUGUAAGCCCGUGAAGGUGGCCUGUGAGGGUUGCUGGAGGUAUCAGAAGUGCGAAUGCUGACAUAAGUAACGAUAAAGCGGGUGAAAAGCCCGCUCGCCGGAAGACCAAGGGUUCCUGUCCAACGUUAAUCGGGGCAGGGUGAGUCGACCCCUAAGGC
This 396-nucleotide ribosomal RNA is filed under the name Salmonella enterica subsp. enterica serovar Heidelberg. RNAcentral describes it as "bacterial LSU rRNA". It matches the Rfam family "Bacterial large subunit ribosomal RNA", at positions 1084 to 1397 of the family's 2925-position model. The record is from RNAcentral. RNAcentral also lists the same sequence under 2 other names. Lineage: Bacteria; Pseudomonadati; Pseudomonadota; Gammaproteobacteria; Enterobacterales; Enterobacteriaceae.